GAGUCGGACAAUGAAUAGAGUGUAAUCCUUAUUAUAAGCCCAUUCAAGGCCUGUUUUAGUCCAUCAAAUGGUUUUUUCACCUUGAUAAAAUAAAUCAUUACGCAUUAAAGAAAAUAUGGACUGUUGACACGGUAAUUUGUUUUCCCGUUGUGAUCAAUUAAUUCUUUUUUUCUUAUUGGACAAAAGGAAAUAUAGUUGUCACAAGUCACAAUGCAUGAUUGAUUGUUACCCAGUGAGAAAAAUAAGACCGUUACACAGUAGGAAAACUUAUUACCGUUUGCUGCAUUAAUAAUUACACGGCCCAAUGUUGCGUACUGUUGUCCCUAUUUAAAAUCGCCUAGAAACGGCGCUUUAUUAUAGAACUAAAACUGGUUUAACACACCAACCCAGUGAUAAAGCUCAUGGUUUAACCUCAAACUUUCUUUCUCUUCCUCUACUUUACUCCAGUUUCUGUAACAACAAGAUGAGCUCAACCAUCACCCAGCUGACUCUCUGGUGCCAAUCUUUGCUUCAUUUAGAUUCGAUAUGAGGAGUGAAUACUGGAAAAUCAUACAGAGAUCAGUCAAAUUCGUUGUGAGUUAUUUCCUGUUUUUAUUUGGUGUUUAUAUGAAAUGUUACAUGUUUACUUACACGAAGCUUCGAUGAUUGUUUGAAAUUAGGUUGCUUGUGAUGGUAGUAGAGGAACAGAGCAAGUGAAAGCAGAAAGGAGUGAAGAUUGUGAUCGAUCUUAUAUAUGUUCUUCUCGCUUGUCUCCGACUCCCUCCCUUGUGACAGUGGUGAGUCCCUCUUAGUAUAUAUGUUCUCUUUAUAAUAAUUGUUGUUUCUUCUCGAGCAAAGCGAUCAUAGUCACUAAACUCUCUUCCCUUCAUCUCAGAGCCUAUCGAUAUGAGGGAACCCUCUCAUUUCAUGUCAAAGAACGACAUCCGAUCCAGUCACCCGGCGAAGAAAACGACAAAGAGUCGCCUGAGAAUAGGAUGAGCUUCUUCGAGAUAUAUCUUCUUCAUCAACAAGUCUUGGCCCAAGAACAUAUGCGCUUUGGAACAAGGCCUCUCAGGUUUUCUUUUUUGAAAACCCAUUUUUUCAAUUUUUUUUUCAUUUUAAAGCUAAGUUCCAAAUAUUUUCACAAAUAUAUAUAUUACCAUAUAAAAUAUUUUUAAAUUUAAAUUUAAAAUUUUAUUAUUUUCACAAAUAAAAAUAAAAACCACACAAAAUGUUUUAAGUUUACAAAUUUUAAAUUUUACAAAAAUUAUUAUUAUUAUAUUAAAUAAUAUAUUUUCAUGUUGGAAAAAUACAUGGUGCAAAAACUUCGGUUUGUUGAAAACAAACCAAGCUAUUUGCAUCCGAUCCGUAUGGUCUCCAUAUGGUUCGUAAGUGGUGUGGAUGUUUAACAUGUUUUUUCGUAUUGUGAAUGAGUUUUAAUAUGUCGAAAACAAACCAAGCUGAAGCAUCCGGUCCUUAUUGGUCUUCCUUAUGGUCCGUCAGUGAUGUAGAUGUUUAACAAAACAUCAGCAUCCAGUCCUUUAUAUAAGGUCUUCCGUAUGGUCAGUUGGCGGUGUAGAUGUUUAACAUGUUUUCUUCGUAUUGUGAAUGAAUUUCAAUAUGUUAAAAAACAGACCAAGUGUUUGCACCUAGUCUUUUCUAAAAUGAAAAUAUAUUGUUUAGUUAAUGAUAAUAAUUUUAAUAAAAUCUAAAAUUUGUGUAAUCUUAAAACAUUUUGUAUUGUUUAUAUUUUAUUUGGGAAAUUAAUUAAAAUUUAAUUUUAAAUAUAAAAAUAUUUUGUAUGGUAAUUGCUUAUUUGCGAAAAUAUAUAGAAUUUUGCUUUAAAAUCCAAAAAAAUACAUUGAAUUAAACUAUCAAAGAGAUAACCUUUUCUUGUGUGUGUGGUGUGUUUUGUUGAUUUGAUUUCACUCACAACCGGCUGGGAGAUUGUGAAAAAUGAAGUAUGAGGAGUACAUGCAAGAACAGAAGGAGAAGAAGAAUCUACCUGGUGUUGGCUUCAGGAAACUCAAGAAGAUUCUGAAGAAGUGCAGAAGAAGAGAUCAUGUUACUUCUCAGAUUGCUUUAAACGAAGCAAUCACUCAUCAACGUGGCAACAACUGUCCUCGUGAAUGCAAAGGUUGCUGUUCCCCUGUUAGGUCCCAUUCUCCUUCUUCUUCUGGUUUUGAGAAUGUUUUAAUCUUUUUUGGCAUGCAGUUUGUGAUGGAAUUUUUUUUGGCAUGCAGUUUGUGAUGGAAUCUUUAUUGGCAUGCAGUUAACGAGAAUGCUCAGAAGCUUCUUGAGUUACAUUUAGCUUCUAGUUUCAAAAAAUGUCUUACUUGGUUCAAAGGCAAAACGAGCCAAGACUUGGUUAACUACGCACUUCAAAAGGCUAUGGGUUCGAGCUGAUCUUGCUCGAAAUGGUAUCUUCGACUAUGAAAAACUUAAGAGAACUUGGAACGUGAAGAUGGUGGAUGAAUCUGAAAAGUGCAAAGAGAGUGUGAUGGAGAGUAAGAAAGAAGAAGCGAUUGGAUUGAAACUGAAGAAAGCGGUUUUGUUUCCGCAAGAAACAGAGAAAGGAUUGUGGCCGGCUCUUGUAUAAUUUAAAAGGAGCAACGAGAUAUUUUCACCAUAAAGCUUACAAACCAUUCUUGAGAUAAAUCAUUCUAAACUUUGGUAGCAGCAUCACUCUGUUUUGUGAAACUAAAAUAAUAAUAUGCUUUUUGAUUAAA
Long non-coding RNA from Brassica rapa (field mustard), 2708 nucleotides. RefSeq lists it as uncharacterized. The record is from RefSeq and is a predicted model, not a curated record. Lineage: Eukaryota; Viridiplantae; Streptophyta; Magnoliopsida; Brassicales; Brassicaceae.